UCCCUCUGUCUCUCAAAACUAAACCAAAAAAAAAUUUUUUUUUGAACAUUAAAAAAAGAUACUAAAUACUUUGCCAGCUUAUCUUAUUUUCUACCCAGCUCACAGUAAGCAUAAGUAAAUAUUUGAAUAAAUGAAUGUGAAGAUGAUUUUCCUGUGUUGGAGAUAUUUUAAAAAUUUCAUCAUGUAUUUUGAUGCAAAUCUAAAACUGGUUUUCACAAAACAGUUUGAAUAAUCAUUCAUCAGUGUGUGCAGCCUUCUAAUAUGAUUACUUUGAGGAAGUAAAGACUGAAAAACAUAUUUGAUAACAUAUUUACUAUUAGCAAACGUGGAUGUAAAUAUAAAAAGUAUUGGAAGAAAACACACAUUGAAUGUAUUAUUAAAUCUGAACUGACUUCCUUAAGAGGUGAUUAUGAAUACAAAUGUAGGACUCUAAGCUGUGCAGAGAAACUAUGAGUCAUUUCAGACACAGGAAAUCAUGUCAGAUAAAGCUUAAAGGCAAAGAGCGACUCUGGUGAUUGAAAGUUGGUAAGUGAUGAUAAAGGUUAAUAAUAUUAGUAUUAUAUUGAUAUUUAUUAAGGACAUAGGUACAUAGGUAGCAUGGGAUUGUGCUAAAUGUCAUGCAUGGUGGUAUCUUUAUUUUUUCAUUCUACAGAAAGAAAAAAGAAUGUCAAAGCUUAGGCAAAGUUAAGUAGCUUGCCUACUGUCCCAUGGGCUUUAAUGGUGGAGGCCAUGCAUGAAUUUAGAUCUAUCUGAUCCCGAAGCUCAAGUCCCUGACUACUGAGUGGAGCUGUAUCUGAUUAUGAGAUUAAGUUCUAAUGGCAGCUCGCAGAGUGAAAUUUAGGCAGAGGUUAAACUACUGCAGAAAAUCCUGUAAGGAGACCAUUUUGGAGAGCAACAUGCCAUUUCCCAGAAAGCCCAGCACAGCCGGGAUUUCCUCUACUACUGGAUCAGAUUGCAGCUGCUUUGGCUGAACAUAUGAAGGAGGUAGUUUGCAGUUAGGGGCAAGUUGUGCGUGGUUCGAAAAAUACCUGUAAACACUGGAUGCACACACUGUGGGGUUAGGUGCUCUCGACAGAAGAAGCACUAAGAGACUGAAUGAAAGUAGAAUCAAGUCUCCCAUCAGAAUUUUCCUGUGCAGUUUCAACUGUUCAUUCUCGCUCCUUCCCCUUCGCUCUCUUUUCUUCUGUAUGUGUAUAUGGUUGAUGUAGCAUAUAUCACUUUAUGUGAUGCGAUCUUGCUAACAGUCAAGCAGCUUUGCUGGUCUAGAGAGGAUUAUUUAAUGGUCUACAAUAUUGAAAAUCUUGUCAAAAUAGUUAUUGUUUGUUGUAGUGCAGCCACCUAUCCAAAGCUGGGAGAAUCAGGUAGCGCAUCCAUCAUGGGAAUACAUCAACUAUCUCCAGAAUUAACAAAAGGGAUGGCUUCCACUGUGUAAAAGAAGAUUUCAAGUGUCUCCGUGAGCCAGUCAGCAUUGACUGUGUCCCUCCGUUGUUGAGAAUAGUUCUCCUCGACCCCACUCCCACCCCAGCACACUGAGGCAAGGGGCACGCUUCUACCAAUAUAGAAGUGUUCUCGGCAGAGCUGAGUCACGCCGUUCUACUUCCCAGAUUAGGAAAGCAGAAUCUGUGGAAUUUGGAUUGAGUGUAGUCUGGAAACCCUUCUCCUGGAUCGUCUACGACAUCCUCCUAUGAGAUGAUUUCCUUACUCUCCAAUCAUCACUAUUGGUUUGAAACAACGGCACUUGAUAAAUGUUCACUGAACUUAAUAGGGUUUCUCCCCCUAAAUGAGGGGCUUUUGAAUCCUAUCCAGUCCUAACCUGUCCAUUCUCCUGUUUGCAGUUGUUGGCACCUACCCAAGAUGUUCCUUGGGGUACGUGGCGGAGAAGAAGCUGUCCAAAGCUCUGUGUAGUGGCCGAGAGGAUCUCACUGAAGAGCUGAGAACAGUACGUCAGAGAGACCACCGCUUGAAAGCCUGUCGUGCUUACAGCCUCCUUUCGAAGAGGCCGCCCCGACCACAACCCCCUAAGCAGACUUCUCGAAGCCUUUACAACAGCUACUGCUUUUCUGUCAAGUCGGCAGAAUCGACACAAUUACUUCACUCUCCACUCACACUAAUAUGAACUAGGUUGUAUGACAAUGCAUUCUUUAUGAGUUAGGUGUUGUAUAUAAGGCCAACUAAACUAUUUUACAUAUGGCUUAAUUAUUACAGUCCUUUUAAACAAGUUUUUCCUUACACUCAGCUCAGCACUCCUGUAAGUCAGUCCACAAAUUACUGUGCUCAUUUCCUUUUCUUUUUAAACAACUCCUUAGACUCUGGGCAAAGAACUAUGUUAGGUGUUGUAAGGGAAUUAAGAAAAACAGAUGCUUAUG
Long non-coding RNA from Lynx canadensis (Canada lynx), 2366 nucleotides. RefSeq lists it as uncharacterized. The record is from RefSeq and is a predicted model, not a curated record. The transcript is spliced from 2 exons. NCBI's taxonomy places the organism in Eukaryota, Metazoa, Chordata, Mammalia, Carnivora, Felidae.